Molecule: ribosomal RNA, 1431 nt
Filed under: Chromobacterium sp. PRI4
Lineage: Bacteria; Pseudomonadati; Pseudomonadota; Betaproteobacteria; Neisseriales; Chromobacteriaceae
Description: bacterial SSU rRNA
Rfam family: Bacterial small subunit ribosomal RNA
Source: RNAcentral
CAUGCAAGUCGAACGGUAACAGGGUGCUUGCACCGCUGACGAGUGGCGAACGGGUGAGUAAUGCGUCGGAAUGUACCGUGUAAUGGGGGAUAGCUCGGCGAAAGCCGGAUUAAUACCGCAUACGCCCUGAGGGGGAAAGUGGGGGACCGUAAGGCCUCACGUUAUACGAGCAGCCGACGUCUGAUUAGCUAGUUGGUGAGGUAAGAGCUCACCAAGGCGACGAUCAGUAGCGGGUCUGAGAGGAUGAUCCGCCACACUGGGACUGAGACACGGCCCAGACUCCUACGGGAGGCAGCAGUGGGGAAUUUUGGACAAUGGGCGCAAGCCUGAUCCAGCCAUGCCGCGUGUCUGAAGAAGGCCUUCGGGUUGUAAAGGACUUUUGUUCGGGAGGAAAUCCCGCUGGUUAAUACCUGGCGGGGAUGACAGUACCGGAAGAAUAAGCACCGGCUAACUACGUGCCAGCAGCCGCGGUAAUACGUAGGGUGCAAGCGUUAAUCGGAAUUACUGGGCGUAAAGCGUGCGCAGGCGGUUGUGCAAGUCUGAUGUGAAAGCCCCGGGCUUAACCUGGGAACGGCAUUGGAGACUGCACGACUAGAGUGCGUCAGAGGGGGGUAGAAUUCCACGUGUAGCAGUGAAAUGCGUAGAGAUGUGGAGGAAUACAGAUGGCGAAGGCAGCCCCCUGGGAUGACACUGACGCUCAUGCACGAAAGCGUGGGGAUGCAAACAGGAUUAGAUACCCUGGUAGUCCACGCCCUAAACGAUGUCAACUAGCUGUUGGGGGUUUGAAUCCUUGGUAGCGUAGCUAACGCGUGAAGUUGACCGCCUGGGGAGUACGGCCGAAAGGUUAAAACUCAAAGGAAUUGACGGGGACCCGCACAAGCGGUGGAUGAUGUGGAUUAAUUCGAUGCAACGCGAAAAACCUUACCUGCUCUUGACAUGUACGGAACUUGCUAGAGAUAGCUUGGUGCCCGAAAGGGAGCCGUAACACAGGUGCUGCAUGGCUGUCGUCAGCUCGUGUCGUGAGAUGUUGGGUUAAGUCCCGCAACGAGCGCAACCCUUGUCAUUAGUUGCCAUCAUUAAGUUGGGCACUCUAAUGAGACUGCCGGUGACAAACCGGAGGAAGGUGGGGAUGACGUCAAGUCCUCAUGGCCCUUAUGAGCAGGGCUUCACACGUCAUACAAUGGUCGGUACAGAGGGUUGCCAAGCCGCGAGGUGGAGCUAAUCUCAGAAAACCGAUCGUAGUCCGGAUCGCACUCUGCAACUCGAGUGCGUGAAGUCGGAAUCGCUAGUAAUCGCAGAUCAGCAUGCUGCGGUGAAUACGUUCCCGGGUCUUGUACACACCGCCCGUCACACCAUGGGAGUGAGUUUCACCAGAAGUGGGUAGGCUAACCGUAAGGAGGCCGCUUACCACGGUGGGAUUCAUGUACAGGG